AUUGAACGCUGGCGGCAUGCCUUACACAUGCAAGUCGAACGGCAGCACGGGAGCAAUCCUGGUGGCGAGUGGCGAACGGGUGAGUAAUAUAUCGGAACGUGCCCAGUCGUGGGGAUAACGUAGCGAAAGCUACGCUAAUACCGCAUACGAUCUAUGGAUGAAAGCGGGGGAUCGCAAGACCUCGCGCGAUUGGAGCGGCCGAUAUCAGAUUAGGUAGUUGGUGAGGUAAAGGCUCACCAAGCCGACGAUCUGUAGCUGGUCUGAGAGGACGACCAGCCACACUGGGACUGAGACAGGCCCAGACUCCUACGGGAGGCAGCAGUGGGGAAUUUUGGACAAUGGGCGCAAGCCUGAUCCAGCAAUGCCGCGUGCAGGAUGAA
RNAcentral lists this ribosomal RNA (380 nucleotides) under uncultured bacterium. RNAcentral's name for it is "bacterial SSU rRNA". It matches the Rfam family "Bacterial small subunit ribosomal RNA", at positions 30 to 412 of the family's 1533-position model. The record is from RNAcentral.